This 492-nucleotide ribosomal RNA is filed under the name uncultured bacterium. RNAcentral describes it as "partial 16S ribosomal RNA". It matches the Rfam family "Bacterial small subunit ribosomal RNA", at positions 29 to 507 of the family's 1533-position model. The record is from RNAcentral.
AGUGAACGCUGGCGGUAGGCCUAACACAUGCAAGUCGAACGGCAGCACAGUAAGAGCUUGCUCUUACGGGUGGCGAGUGGCGGACGGGUGAGGAAUACAUCGGAAUCUACUUUUUCGUGGGGGAUAACGUAGGGAAACUUACGCUAAUACCGCAUACGACCUACGGGUGAAAGCAGUGGAUCUUCGGACCUUGCGCGAUUGAAUGAGCCGAUGUCGGAUUAGCUAGUUGGCGGGGUAAAGGCCCACCAAGGCGACGAUCCGUAGCGGGUCUGAGAGGAUGAUCAGCCACACUGGAACUGAGACACGGUCCAGACUCCUACGGGAGGCAGCAGUGGGGAAUAUUGGGCAAUGGGCGCAAGCCUGAUCCAGCCAUACCGCGUGAGUGAAGAAGGCCUUCGGGUUGUAAAGCCCUUUUGUUGGGAAAGAAAAGCAGCAGGUUAAUACCCCGCUGUUCUGACGGUACCCAAAGAAUAAGCACCGGCUAACUUCGUG